GGUGCGAGGUGUGGGGGCGCUCGCCCUAUUGCUGCUGCCGCUGGGUCUAGGGUGGGCGGCCGGCCUCGCGGUCCGGCGGUCGCCUGAUCCUCACAGAAGCUGUCGGAGCUAGGCUGGCCAGUUCGGUAGACCCUAGGCACGGUGGCUGCCGAGCAUUGAAACGUAGGUAAUCUGAACUGAGAUGGGCUGUUAAGUGUGAAGAACACACUGGCUUUUAUGGGCUCAGUAAGUUAAAAUAAUGUGAAAUAUUUCAUUACUGAUUCUUAAAUAUUGAUGGUCUAUCAAAAUAAUAGUGUUUUGGAUACAUUGUGUUAAAUGACUUGUUUUGAAAUUAGAAAAUGUAAAAUUA
This 349-nucleotide long non-coding RNA is filed under the name Homo sapiens (human). Its description in RNAcentral is "HSALNT0331827". The record is from RNAcentral. Lineage: Eukaryota; Metazoa; Chordata; Mammalia; Primates; Hominidae.